Molecule: non-coding RNA, 82 nt
Organism: Apaloderma vittatum (bar-tailed trogon)
Lineage: Eukaryota; Metazoa; Chordata; Aves; Trogoniformes; Trogonidae
Source: Rfam
GGCCGGUUAGCUCAGUGGUUUGAGCGCGAUGCUGACAACAAUGACCCACACUGAGGUCGCGGGUUCGAUUCCCGCUCGGUCC